CCGACGGUGAGAGGCGAAAGCUGGGGGCACGAACCGGAUUAGAUACCCGGGUAGUCCCAGCCGUAAACGAUGCUCGCUAGGUGUCUGGGAUGGUGCGACCGUUUCAGGUGCCGCAGGGAAGCCGUGAAGCGAGCCACCUGGGAAGUACGGCCGCAAGGCCGAAACUUAAAGGAAUUGGCGGGGGAGCACUACAACGGGUGGAGCCUGCGGUUUAAUUGGACUCAACGCCGGAAAACUCACCUGGGGC
Molecule: ribosomal RNA, 247 nt
Filed under: uncultured archaeon
Lineage: Archaea
Description: partial 16S ribosomal RNA
Rfam family: Archaeal small subunit ribosomal RNA
Source: RNAcentral